AACAGCUUUCAUUAGCGAGAACUGGUCCAUCAUGGUGAUGCCAUGCUACCCUCCCAUCGUCGUCAUUGUCUCCGAUGACUUUAUCUACCAUUUUGUACUAUUUGAAAGUGGAAACAUGAAGUAUCUCCAAAUGGUUGAAGCCAUCCAAAAGUGGGAGUCACCACCUGGUGAAAUGCUCUGGGAGGGGAUGCACCGAUUAUAUAGUCAAAGAUACUGCUUCGAUGAGUAGGUACUUCAUCGUAAGUCACGCCGGGAUCCUCACAGUUAUCAUACCAACGUUGGAUAGUUUUUACAGAUUUCUGGAAAGGAUUACCCUG
Molecule: long non-coding RNA, 317 nt
Organism: Homalodisca vitripennis (glassy-winged sharpshooter)
Lineage: Eukaryota; Metazoa; Arthropoda; Insecta; Hemiptera; Cicadellidae
Exons: 3
Source: RefSeq, a predicted model, not a curated record